AACGAACGCUGGCGGCAUGCCUAACACAUGCAAGUCGAACGAGACCUUCGGGUCCAGUGGCGCACGGGUGCGUAACGCGUGGGAACCUGCCCUUAGGUUCGGAAUAACUCCCCGAAAGGGGUGCUAAUACCGGAUAAUGUCUUCGGACCAAAGAUUUAUCGCCUUUGGAUGGGCCCGCGUUGGAUUAGCUAGUUGGUAGGGUAAAAGCCUACCAAGGCGACGAUCCAUAGCUGGUCGGAGAGGAUGAUCAGCCACACUGGGACUGAGACACGGCCCAGACUCCUACGGGAGGCAGCAGUGGGGAAUAUUGGACGAUGGGCGAAAGCCUGAUACAGCAAUGCCGCGUGAGUGAUGAAGGCCUUAGGGUUGUAAAGCUCUUUUACCCGGGAUGAUAAUGACGGUACCGGGAGAAUAAGCUCCGGCUAACUCCGUG
Molecule: ribosomal RNA, 433 nt
Filed under: uncultured bacterium
Lineage: Bacteria
Description: partial 16S ribosomal RNA
Rfam family: Bacterial small subunit ribosomal RNA
Source: RNAcentral